This 468-nucleotide ribosomal RNA is filed under the name uncultured bacterium. Its description in RNAcentral is "partial 16S ribosomal RNA". It matches the Rfam family "Bacterial small subunit ribosomal RNA", at positions 28 to 507 of the family's 1533-position model. The record is from RNAcentral.
GACGAACGCUGGCGGCGUGCUUAACACAUGCAAGUCGAACGGAAAGGCCCUGCUUUUGUGGGGUGCUCGAGUGGCGAACGGGUGAGUAACACGUGAGUAACCUGCCCUUGACUUUGGGAUAACUUCAGGAAACUGGGGCUAAUACCGGAUAGGAGCUCCUGCUGCAUGGUGGGGGUUGGAAAGUUUCGGCGGUUGGGGAUGGACUCGCGGCUUAUCAGCUUGUUGGUGGGGUAGUGGCUUACCAAGGCUUUGACGGGUAGCCGGCCUGAGAGGGUGACCGGCCACAUGGGGACUGAGGGACGGCCCAGACUCCAACGGGAGGCAGCAGUGGGGAAUAUUGCACAAUGGGCGGAAGCCUGAUGCAGCAACGCCGCGUGCGGGAUGACGGCCUUCGGGUUGUAAACCGCUUUCGCCUGUGACGAAGCGUGAGUGACGGUAAUGGGUAAAGAAGCACCGGCUAACUACGUG